UCGCCAGACUCCUACGGGAGGCAGCAGUGAGGAAUAUUGGUCAAUGGGCGGGAGCCUGAACCAGCCAAGUCGCGUGAGGGACGACGGUCCUAUGGAUUGUAAACCUCUUUUGUCGGGGAACAAAGGCGCCCACGGGUGGGCGGAUGAGUGUACCCGAAGAAAAAGCAUCGGCUAACUCCGUGCCAGCAGCCGCGGUAAUACGGAGGAUGCGAGCGUUAUCCGGAUUUAUUGGGUUUAAAGGGUGCGUAGGCGGUUUUUUAAGUUAGUGGUUAAACGUCGGGGCUUCACCUUGAUUUGCCAUUAAUACUGUAAGACUCGAGUUCAGACGAGGUAGGCGGAAUAAGUUAAGUAGCGGUGAAAUGCUUAGAUAUAACUUAGAACUCCGAUAGCGAAGGCAGCUUACCAGACUGCGACUGACGCUGAAGCACGAGAGCGUGGGUAGCGAACAGGAUUAGAUACCCUAGUAUCC
Molecule: ribosomal RNA, 469 nt
Filed under: uncultured bacterium
Lineage: Bacteria
Description: bacterial SSU rRNA
Rfam family: Bacterial small subunit ribosomal RNA
Source: RNAcentral